GCUUACGGCCAUACCACCCUGAGCACACCCGACUUCGUUUGACCUCGGAAGCUAAGCAGGGCUGGUCUUAGUUAGUACUUGGAUGGGAGGUUGCCACGGAAUACCAGGUGCUGUAAGCC
Molecule: ribosomal RNA, 119 nt
Organism: Astatotilapia calliptera (eastern happy)
Lineage: Eukaryota; Metazoa; Chordata; Actinopteri; Cichliformes; Cichlidae
Source: Ensembl